RNAcentral lists this ribosomal RNA (468 nucleotides) under uncultured bacterium. RNAcentral's name for it is "partial 16S ribosomal RNA". It matches the Rfam family "Bacterial small subunit ribosomal RNA", at positions 28 to 507 of the family's 1533-position model. The record is from RNAcentral.
GACGAACGCUGGCGGCGUGCUUAACACAUGCAAGUCGAACGGCAAGGCACUGCUUUUGUGGGGUGCUCGAGUGGCGAACGGGUGCGUAACACGUGAGUAACCUGCCCUUGACUUUGGGAUAACUUCAGGAAACUGGGGCUAAUACCGGACAGGAGCUCCUGCUGCGUGGUGGGGGUUGGAAAGUUUCGGCGGGUGGGGAUGGACUCGCGGGUAAUCAGCUUGUUGGUGGGGUAGUGGUUUACCAAGGCUUUGACGGGUAGCCGGCCGGGGAGGGUGACCGGCCACAUGGGGACUAAGAUACGGCGCAGUCUCCUACGGGAGGCAGCAGUGGGGAAUAUUGCACAAUGGGCCGAAGCCUGAUGCAGCAACGCCGCGUGCGGGAUGCCGGCCUUCGGGUUGUAAACCGCUUUCGCCUGUGACGAAGCGUGAGUGACGGUAAUGGGUAAAGAAGCACCGGCUAACUACGUG